This 379-nucleotide ribosomal RNA is filed under the name uncultured bacterium. Its description in RNAcentral is "bacterial SSU rRNA". It matches the Rfam family "Bacterial small subunit ribosomal RNA", at positions 28 to 412 of the family's 1533-position model. The record is from RNAcentral.
GACGAACGCUGGCGGCGUGCUUAACACAUGCAAGUCGAGCGGUAAGGCCCUUUUGGGGGUACACGAGCGGCGAACGGGUGAGUAACACGUGGGUGACCUGCCCUCAGCUCUGGGAUAAGCCUGGGAAACUGGGUCUAAUACUGGAUAUGACCUUUCCUCGCAUGGGGUUGGGUGGAAAGUUUUUCGGCUGGGGAUGGGCCCGCGGCCUAUCAGCUUGUUGGUGGGGUGAUGGCCUACCAAGGCGACGACGGGUAGCCGGCCUGAGAGGGCGACCGGCCACACUGGGACUGAGACACGGCCCAGACUCCUACGGGAGGCAGCAGUGGGAAUAUUGCGCAAUGGCGGAAGCCUGACGCAGCGACGCCGCGUGGGGGAUGAC